Molecule: long non-coding RNA, 2024 nt
Organism: Gallus gallus (chicken)
Lineage: Eukaryota; Metazoa; Chordata; Aves; Galliformes; Phasianidae
Source: Ensembl
CCCGCGAGCGCGGCGCAGGGUAUCAGUUCUCGUUUGAGAAACGGUGCAUACAAAGAGCCGUCUCCUUCCCGAGCUGCUGAGGCCCUCAAAUCAAAUUCGACCGCAGCAGUCGGACAGGACUUUCUUUUCUAAGGGUAAUGUAUUUGUGUUUCUAUGUGCACACGUGGGCACGGACCGGAUAAAGCCCCCGAGCCGCCACGCAGCGUAACCGGGAGGUGCGAGAGUGUGCUGUGCGGGAGGAGAUCACCUCCAGUCUUCGUAAGGCACGUGAACGAACGGGUCACGGCGCUGCAGCCGCUUUCCUUCGGGAAUAAACACGAUCUGAGCUCGGCGACGGUUCGCGUCGCCAGCGGUGUUUCCCCUGUCUCCGUUCUGUUGCAAACGGGAACAACGAGUGUUCCCUCGCGUUACGGCGAGAGGUCGAGAGCUCGCACACCCGGCCCGGUCUCGUCUAUAGGCAGACGCGUUUGGGGAAACGGCACUGUGCUGAGAUAAGGGUGUUCUGCGGGAGGGAGAGCCGCGAAAGAGGGGGAGGAUGGCGUGGAGCUCCCCGCACGAAGGUUCGCUCCGGGCUGUUGUUCUCUGCGCCCUAUUGCGGAGCUGCGGGACGGGAGCGCGGCGUCGCCGCACCCGGUUCGGGCAGAGCGGGGCUGAGCUGCGGUGCCGGGGUGAAACUGGAGCGGCCUUCGGGAGGGUCCUGCGGCCCUGGAACCUGAAACCUGGAGAGGAGACGGGCAGCCGCGCAGUGUGUGCUGUAGCGAAGGGGAAUAAACCUUAUGAGCGGCUAGACCGAGGCGUGCGCUUUUACCGAUUGAAGAGGGGAAGGGAAAAAAAAAAAAAAACAUAAAAGAAAACAACAAGCGGAAAGCCGAGGAGACGGAGACGUGAUAAAAGCGGGUCGCAGAGGGGGCAGAGAGGGCCGUGACCCGUCCGUGCCCCUCUGCCAUGGGCGGGUCGGGCCUUCUGCGGGGUCGACGCGUAGGGCCGAAGCAGCUUCGGGUCUGACAGCAGCGAGAGGAGCGCCGCGAGUGCUGCUCGGAGGCCUCCGGUGGAUCCCCUCUCCGGCUUUGCCAUGACCCUAAGAGCUUUCGUCGGAAGGUUUCCCCUCCCGACACUCGUCGCCUUUUCCUCCUCGCGGGCAGCCCACGCCGAAGGGAUUUCUCCCCUCCUGCUCUUAUCCCAAAGGCUCGACCCCGAGGCUCCGUGGGGGCAAAGGGCCGAGGGCGGGGCAGAAGAGGGGUCAGCAGCUCUGGGUCGAGGCCGCUGCACCUCCCGGGUUCGCUCUCCUCGGCCCCGGCGGUCCGCCCGUAGGGGCGAACGGGGCGAGGAGCGGGGGCAGCAAUAAGCAGCUCGCUGUUUGCUCAUCCUCCCGUCCCCACUUUUCCAAUUUUGGUUCGGACCAUUCAUCUCGAGGUCCCUCGUAACCAAAGGAGGGAACAUUGCCCUCUGUCCUCAGCUCCGUCCUCCGUAGCCCUCCGUGCCGGAGGCUCCGGCUGGAAAACCCUCCUUCCCCACAGGUUCUUGGGUUACGUUUGGCCGUUGCAUUACACGGGGCGUUUGCGGGCUUUUAGCAGCCUCCAUAAAAGAAUAACGACUUCGUCUUUGCCCUGCACGCUAUAACACGGCUGGCAAACACCGUUCUGGGGCGAGCAGAAUUCGGCUUUCCUAUGGUCUCCAUAGGAUAGGAAGAAGAGACCUAUGCAAGGUGUUUCCCGGCUACCCUCGGUCCGUGCGCCCCUCGGGCAGGUUAUCCUCUUGGAAAGCCGCCCCGGGGCCCAUUGUCUUUAUCUGAUGGUUGAGACAUCGGGGAGGAGAGGAAGGGAAAAAAAAAAAUCAUUGUUAAAAGCACUUUGAAGUCGUGCAACUGCUGCCGCUCCGUUUUUUUCUCCGGUCUCCAGAUGCACCACAAAUCUUCACUUUGAUCUCCCAAACCAGCAAUUUAUAUAUUUUUUUAUUUUUUAUUUUUUUUUUAACUGGUUGGGUAACUCGGAGAGUAAUGGCAACCAUGCAGGGGAUGAGGUCAC